UACGAAGGGGGCUAGCGUUGUUCGGAAUUACUGGGCGUAAAGCGCACGUAGGCGGACUGUUAAGUCAGGGGUGAAAUCCCGGGGCUCAACCCCGGAGCUGCCUUUGAUACUGGCGGUCUCGAGUCCGGAAGAGGUUAGUGGAAUUCCCAGUGUAGAGGUGAGAUUCGUAGAUAUUGGGAAGAACACCAGUGGCGAAGGCGGCUAACUGGUCCGGUACUGACGCUGAGGUGCGAAAGCGUGGGGAGCAAACAGG
RNAcentral lists this ribosomal RNA (253 nucleotides) under uncultured bacterium. Its description in RNAcentral is "partial 16S ribosomal RNA". It matches the Rfam family "Bacterial small subunit ribosomal RNA", at positions 524 to 776 of the family's 1533-position model. The record is from RNAcentral.